RNAcentral lists this ribosomal RNA (417 nucleotides) under Triticum aestivum (bread wheat). RNAcentral describes it as "partial small subunit ribosomal RNA". Lineage: Eukaryota; Viridiplantae; Streptophyta; Magnoliopsida; Poales; Poaceae. The record is from RNAcentral.
AUGCAAGGGAGAGAAAAAAGCAGGCAUCUUUCCGUGCGCAAGGACAUCAUCGUCCCUUUUCUCCGAGAAUCGGAUGCGGAGACACCUCACAUGAAAGGUACAUCCAAUCCGUUGGAGCGGGGUUAUCUGGAGAAGAGCAUCGCAUUCCGCCCUUUUAAUGCCGUCAAAAUCAAGCACGAGCCCUUCGUUUCUUUGGUGCUCCCGUCCCGUCCCAUCCCCAUCUACCUACCGUGGACGGUGCCAGAAGAGGACCAGUCACAGCCUGCACUUGCACUGCACAUGAUCGCCUAUUUAAGCUUCUCCUGUUCUCGCCCACCCCGCUCCACCCCAUUCCCACUCUCUCCCAGCAGCGGCACGUCAUCAUCUUCCUCCCCCUCGCCGUCCGCGUGUACGUCCAACAGAGGCUGGGAACUUUAA